This is a long non-coding RNA of Calidris pygmaea (Spoon-billed sandpiper), 1823 nucleotides long. The record is from Ensembl. Lineage: Eukaryota; Metazoa; Chordata; Aves; Charadriiformes; Scolopacidae.
GAGCACAGUGGUGGCCACCUGGAAACUUCUAUUUUCCCCUUGGCGGUAUUGCUCAGACUGUGUCUUGUGGCCAGGAGACCUGCCGCGGGCACUGCUGCAGCAUUUGAAGGUAAAGGCGAAUGGAACAGCAGCUCUCCUGGAGAAUGCAGGUAGAUGAGUUCCCCAAGAAACCGCAGCAGGAACUUAAACUGCCUGUUUGAUCCUUUUCCCCAGAAACUCUGGAGAACCAUAACUUAUAUGGAUCUGUGGUGAUGCAGACAUUAGAGGGCUAUUGUGUAAAGGCCUAAGACAUGAAUAUCACAUGACUGGACACACUGCAUACAAUAACAGUCCAUAUACUCUCUUUCCACUGAACUACACUGGCGUUAUUGUUACUGUCUUGCUGAGCAUCUGACUGAAUAUAUACCACAAACAUUGACGAGAACUACUUUUGACCACUUGUGUAACCAUGUAUAAUUUUGCUUGUGUUUUCAGCUAACUCUCUUACCAAGAUGAAAAUUAGUAGAAAGCACUGAAGAAAAUGGCUGAAUAAAUUUUUGUAACCAGAUAUUGACAUCUGAUACCAGGUUUUCCUGAGGAAAGGAGCUGGAAUGCAUGAGCUGAAGAAAAGUUAUUUACAGAUACAAUGACAAAAAGGAUAAUGCCACAGUCAGGAAAUCAGUACAGAGGGAAUCCAGCAGCUUGUCAGCAGCACUGCAGACAAAUAGCACAACCGACUCAAAGAAAACGAACCAAAGCAAGCUCCAAAUUCCAGACCUCUGCAGGACAAGCUGCUGGUGUGAAGCUGAACAGGAGCCAGAGCGUAGCAGCAAGGAAGCUGUGAUUUCAUCCAGCAGCCUGACAGAAACUCCGAGGCUUUACUGCAGCAGUUUGUGCAGAUGCAGCAGCAUCCCUCUGACCGGGUCCAUGUCAAGUGCUAGCAGAGGAGUCCCCAGAAGGAGGAUUCUCAUGUAAUUCUGUGUCACUGCCCCCUUGAUUUUUAGUUGCAACUCUCUGAGGAAACCAGGUAUGCUCUACAGGUUUUUAAACAGUUUUUAUUCCUUAGGAUGAUGCCUAAUUUCCAAGGGAAGUGUAAGCUGCAUGGAAAUGGGGAAGACUGAUGAGAGAAAGAAAGGUCCCCAAGGAGGGUCAUUUCCCUCACCAUGGAGUGGUGGUAGGCAGGUUCCUUUGGGAGGAGAUGCAGGACAAUUAGCCGGAGUAGAGGCAUUUGCCUGGGGUACAUGUUGGCAAGGAGGUUUCUGGUGAGGUUUACAGCCCAGUGGUGGGGAUCCUGAGAGGCUCCACAUUUGGCAUAAGGGCAUGAGGGCUCAGGGGUGAGUAGCAGCUGUCACACAUGUUUUGGUGCUUGUCUGGGGACUGAUUGGAACUGGGUACUGAUAUUUGUGGUUUGGUAUCUGUGCGUUAGACUUGUGUGCCAGGUCAGCAGGCAGGAGAGCACUGCUGGCCAGAUGGGGAAGAAAGUUUAGGACGGCGUGUGCUGGGUUGGGGAAACACUGACAAUUAUAGCAAACCCAUUUGCACCAGUGGGACUCUGGGGUGGCUCUGCUGAGAGCAGUGGAGUAAUGCUGACAAAACUGUAAAUGGGAUUUGGCCUUAUAAUGCGAAAAUGAGAUUUGGCUGAGGGCCUGGAGGGGUGCUGGGAGCUAGUCUCUGAAUGUAUAAAUGCAUGUGUUUCUAAAAAUGUCUGUGCUGGUUGCUAGAUAGAUGUAUGAAGCCCUCGGAGCAUGCAUCACCUUUCAUAGGAAACAAAGCGUCUGUUGCGUUUCAGCCAGACUCCCCACUGAAUUAUUUAAGGCAACUAAAUAACUACAGAGCUCCCCUGA